AUUGAUCCGUUAGAGACUUUCCUGGACGUCUUAAUAAGGGUAGCCGAGUAGAGCUAUACCUUCAAGACCUAAGCGAGUAUCGGUAUAGAACCGACCCUUAGGCAAAUCUACAUUAUAGGGAUUGAUCUUCUAGAGACUUUCCUUGACGUCUUAAUAAAGGUAGCCGAGUAGAGCUACACCUUCAAGACCUAAGCGAGAGUAUCGGUAUAGACCCGACCCUUAGGCAAAUCUACGUUAUAGGGAUUGAUCCGUUAGAGACUUUCCUUGAUUUCUUAAUAAGGGUAGCCGAGUAGAGCUACACCCUCAAGACCUAAGGGAGUAUCGGUAUAGACCCGACCCUUAGGCAAAUCUACGUUAUAGGGAUUGAUCCGUUAGAGACUUUCCUGGCCGUCUUAAUAAGGGUAGCCGAGUAGAGCUACACCUUCAAGACCUAAGCGAGUAUCGAUGUAGACCCGACUCUUGGAUGAAUAUACAUGGUAGGAAAAAUGCGUAGUAAAAGAGAGCAUGCGGUAGUGCAAAACAAUAACGAGAGGUACCAUAGUAAUUCGAAAGUAAAAUAGUACAACAUAGGUUGGCCCAAAAGUGACCUAAUGCAAUGGCCUAAACGGCCUUACAGGAAAGUGAAAUAGUACAACAUAGGUUGGCCCAAAAGUGACCUAAUGCAAUGGUCGGAACGACCUUACAGGAAAAUAAAAUAAUAUAAGUCCAAAUACAACACUAUAAACGUCAGCCUUCCCGAGACCUCCACAACGUCUCCGCUAGUCUGGAUGGAUCCCGUCAAGAUCUAGGCUCGGAAACUUCUCAUGAACNGACAACACCGACAACUCGACAUCAACGACAAUGCAACGACAACAACAUCAACUUGACAAAUGCAAUAUGCAUGUGGUACCAAUCAGGGCAUCAAGGCCCCAACUUUAAGAGCGAAUAAGGCUCACAUGGCAUCAAGUCCCCAACUUUAAGAGCGAAAAGGCUCACAGGGCAUCAAGCCCCCAACUUAUAGAGCAUAAGCUCUCAGGGCAUCGAGCCCCCAACGUAUAGAGCGAAAAAGGCUCACAGGGCAUCAAGCCCUCAACUUUAAUGAGUAUGCAUGGACUCGACAACCAUCAACUUUAACAACUUAGACAACUUCGACAACUUAGACAACUUCAACAACUUGUACGACUUCAACAACGACUUUGCAUCAUAAUAUCAUAAUUUAUCAAUGUAUACAUUCAUAUAGUAAUUCAUUAAUUAUGAACAACAUCAUAUAACAUCAUAUUUAUCAACAUAUACAUUCAUAUAAUAAUUCAUAAAUCAUGAACAACAUCAUAUAACAUCAUAUUCAUCACAACAUAGGUUAAAUACUCUUAAACACCUUAAUUGAACUCAUAGUACACAAGCUUUGAAGUUUGGAGACAAUCCAUAAGUUUUGGAUUGACUUAGAAAUAGUUAUGCAGAAUUUUCAUAAAAUUUCACUAAGACCUCCUUGGAGUAUUUUCAUCAUAACUCAAAAACCAAAAAUCAUUUUCAAGUCAAACCAAUGCCACUGGAAAGCUAACACAAUUAUCUACAACUUUCAUGUUUACACCAAAGGUCAAUUCAAAACAGAAACGUGUGACAAAGAUGCAAGAACAUGAAACAGGGCAUGCUGUCAGAGAGCAACUCGGGAAAAACCCAUUUUUCACCCCAAAACCGCAAUUUUAACUUCCCUGUGCUCAAAUUUGAUCCCAAAGUUUGACUAAACAUUUAUACACAUCAAAAGAGACUCAAAACCAUAUAAAACUUGACCCAAAACAUUAUUUUAGAAAAUCAUCAAAAAACAACAUCAUAUUUCACCAAUUUUGAGCAAAAACACAAGUAUACAUAUAUACAUAACUUAAGCAUAUAAAUUCAUCAUCAACAACUUAAUUAACAUCAAAAUCACAUAUCCAAACAUUGCAUCAAAACAUAAACACAAAUUUCACCAAUUAAAUCCACAAUAAUCACUUUAUACAAAUAGGCACUUAUGGGUAGAAGUAGAAAAAGAGAUUAUACAAAAGAUUAUGAGUGAAAUUUAACCCUAAUUUUUAUAACAUCAAAACUAACAACAACUACAAGGUUAAACCUUUUUUUAGAAUUAUACAACCCAUUAUUAAAGAAAGCUAGUCCCACCCUUACCUUAGAUUGAUCGACGAAGGACUCUACCGCUUUCUCUCCUCUGGCUCUUCUCUUCUCUUGUUUCCUCCCUUUUUCUCCAAACACAGGUAUCACGUAAUCCUUAUUUUCUAAUUCUAACUCUCCCCUUUUAUAUAAAUCUUUAACCUACUUAUUUUCUCUUAUUUCCAAAUCUGCCCUCCAAGUCUCAAUAAUCUAUUCUAAUAUAUAUAUAUAUAUAUGUGCUCGUGAUUUUCGGAUAUCAAACCAUUAAUUGAUUUGAAUCGUCAAUCUUUGAACUCUUAAUUUUUAUUCGUGGGAAGGGAAAAAAUGAGUAAAAACCCUUGUCGAGACUUUGGAUUCGGGGGUUGGUUACGCGAAGGGAAGGUNNNNNNNNNNNNNNNNNNNNNNNNNNNNNNNNNNNNNNNNNNNNNNNNNNNNNNNNNNNNNNNNNNNNNNNNNNNNNNNNNNNNNNNNNNNNNNNNNNNNNNNNNNNNNNNNNNNNNNNNNNNNNNNNNNNNNNNNNNNNNNNNNNNNNNNNNNNNNNNNNNNNNNNNNNNNNNNNNNNNNNNNNNUUUGCUACAACGAAGAGAUAAUGUAGCCUAUGAGGAACGGCUCAUAGUAACGAAUGUGAAACUCCGUUUGCUACAACGAAGAGAUAAUGUAGCGUAUGAGGUACGGCUCAUAGUAACAAUAAUGAAAUAGUUACCGUUCGCUAUAAUGAAGAGAUAAUAUGAUAUAUAGCAUAUAAUGAAAUGUAUAACUAAUGAUACUCAUAUUAACAUGAAAAUUAUGUUUAAUAUGAAUUAGCUACGAAGCCAUAUCUUAUGGGCAUUUUGCCAAUCAUUGGAAAUGAUGAAUUUUAGUUACGGAACUACGGAACUCCGGCUCAGUUAGCCGAAACUAGUUGUUACCAAAAAAAAAAAAAAAAAGAAUCAGAGACAUACCCAGAUAAGUAUGUCAAAGUAUAAGCUAUACUAGAAUACGAUAUAUUGGAUUUAUGUUUAUGAUUAUUAUUAUGAUUAUGGUGAUUAUGCUUAUGAUUGAAGUUAUGAGUAUGACUAUAUUUAUGAUAUAAUCAAAAUAGUAUUUCAGACAGCGAUUUUAGUUAUCCCCUGAUAGCUCAGUUAUGCAUAAUGAAAUCAUAUAAACCCGAAAUGGGUUGAGUUUAGUAACAGAUGGCGAUCUUAGAUUCCCCGAGAUUGCCUACAGCCUAGGAUAGGUGGAACUCACUAAGACAUUUUGUCUCACCCCAAUCCUUUUUAUUUAUUUCAGACGUACAAGUUAUUAUACAACAUGAUGGUUCGUGAUGAAGAAGCAGAAGUCGCUUGAAGUUUCGCGUCAGUAGUGUUAGUGUUACUUCAGAGGUAUAAGACGAGAAUUUUUGUAUCUUAUUCAGAGGAAAUUUUUAUUGUUGUAAUUUUAAUGUAUCCAUUGCCAAGUUUAACACUCAUGCUAGAUAUCCUAGGUAAUUUCUAGUAGGGGUGUUACAAUGUGUUAUUUUGCUGUUUUGAUUCAUAUUUUUGCUGGAACAUAUUUUACAUGGUCAAAACUUGGAGUUUCUAAAUGGUUUGAAACUUGUGUUUGUGUCGUUCGGUUUUUCGGAAAUUGUCGGAACUUGGAAUUUUGUGAACAAAAAGGAUUGCAAGCUUGGUCUCAUAUAGACUUAGACAAGGCUUGUAAGUUUAGUACAAUGUCUUAAACAUGUCAAACUUGAUUUUCGGGUGGGAUUGUGGAAAAUGUGAACUUGGGUUUUAUCAUACGAACUUAAGCUAUUCUUUGAACUAAUGUUUAAUGGUUUGUAAGUGGCUUAAGCUCAUAACUAUAUGAUUGAUUAAGAUUGUUUGGUGAGUUUUCAAACUUUAUAUUGUUACCUUACUUGAGAGUUAUCAAGGUUGGCCGUUUGCCACUUGAUAUGGUUUUAUCAGAAAUGAUUCUUUUAAGUCAAAUAUCUUAUGAUCUUUCGUGACUAACCUUGUAUGACUAAAUUGUGAUGUGUGAAUGAAUUGUUAUGUGUUGGAUAUGAUAUUUAUCAUGAGAUGUGUAUGUUAUCUUACUUAGAAUGUAAGAAAUGUUAUCUUACUUAGAAUGUAAGAUAUUUAUCAUGAGAUAUGAGAUAGUUAAUGUUGAAUGACAUUGUUGAUUAUUGAUGAUCAUGUUGAUGUGGUGAUGAUGAGUAUUAUGAUUUGAUUGUGUAUGGGCAUGUUUUCUUGAUAAUGCAAAUGUUGUGGAGAUGAUCAAUAUAUAUGGAAGUUGUCCUCUAUAUUGUGGUGAAAAUUGUGAAUUGAUGUCGCAUUAUCGAGUCUCUGUUACAUGUCCAUGCAUCAUAGUCGUGUUGAGAUUUGAUAUGAUGUUUUUGUUGAAUUAUUGGGCUCCGGCUUAGCAGAGAUCAUUUGGUGAUCUAGUUUUGUGGACUUCGGUCUUGCAGAGAUCCAUUAGUGAUCUAGUUUUGUGGACUUCGGUCUUGCAGAGAUCCAUUAGUGAUCUAGAUUGUGGGCUUCGGCCUUGCAGAGACCUUUGACGGUCUAGAUAUAGGUGACGACCUUGAGGUGAUUUGGUACCACAUGCAUAUAUGUGUCGGGCUAGGAACACAUCAUGCAUAAGUCUUAUUGGUGAAAUGUAAUUGAUGAUUGUGCAUGCAUAAGUGUGAUUUGAUGAUUGUUCAUGACACAUGUGAUUGGUGAAUAAUUGAGCUGAAUCUUUGAGAAUGAUGGUAUAUGUAUUUAUACGUGAAUAUUAUUAUUGAUCAAGUACAUGAUGGUUAAAUUGGAAUAUUCAUGUUAAUUGUUAUGUGGAUUAUGAUGAUGUAAUACUUACCCCUAGUGGUUUUGACCGCCUACCUGUCUGUAUGGAUGGGUAGAUGUUGUGCAGGAUUAGUUGCUUGGUGAGUUCUUGUGCUUGGUGGAUAUCGGGAGCUAUCUCCGGUAUCGGUGUUUAGAGAGUCUAGGUUGGCUCUGUAACACCCCAUUUUCCCAACUUGAAAUUUUUUGCAUAAUAAUCAGAGUAUUCAACUUAAACAGGAUGUCACACUUCUUUAAAAGAUAAAUAGAGUAAAAAUUUUAUUUACUUAAAACAUCUGCUUCCAAUAAUUUUCAAUAAACGUCGCAGUGGAAAAUAAUUAUUCUUUCAACAAAAUUGGCACUAAGGCCUCAACAUAAACAACGUCAUAAAAAAUUCAACAAAAAGGUUCAACAAUGAAAUCAUAAAAAAUACGUAACGAUGGAAAUAAAUAUCAAAGUUCCCAUCCCGUUACGUAUCAGAGCGACUCCUAAGACGACACAAGGAAUCAACACACAUCAGCGGUUACUCCUGGUUAUCUGCACGUUACCCACGUAGAGGCAACAUUCAAACAGAAGGGGUGAGAUUUCACAUUCAAUAAUAAUAAGCAUAUAAUUCUUNGUGACCUAAUGCAAUGGCCUAAACGGCCUUACAGGAAAGUGAAAUAGUACAACAUAGGUUGGCCCAAAAGUGACCUAAUGCAAUGGUCGGAACGACCUUACAGGAAAAUAAAAUAAUAUAAGUCCAAAUAC
RNAcentral lists this long non-coding RNA (5642 nucleotides) under Medicago truncatula (barrel medic). RNAcentral's name for it is "long non-coding RNA (MTRU_LNC000434)". The record is from RNAcentral. Lineage: Eukaryota; Viridiplantae; Streptophyta; Magnoliopsida; Fabales; Fabaceae.